RNAcentral lists this long non-coding RNA (321 nucleotides) under Hordeum vulgare. Its description in RNAcentral is "long non-coding RNA (HVUL_LNC015525)". Lineage: Eukaryota; Viridiplantae; Streptophyta; Magnoliopsida; Poales; Poaceae. The record is from RNAcentral.
CUCAGAAGGCGUGGCAGCCACCACCCUACCUCUCCCGCAGCCACGUGUACCUUUAGUACAACAUAAAUACCAACAUGAGUAAUAAAAUGUAUAUAAAUACCAAUAUGCAUACACCAUGAGUACAAAAUAAAUACCAACAUGAAUACAACGUGUACCUUUAGUACCUCUCGGCUUCGUGGGGGUCGAUCUCCUCUCACGUGGGGCGCUCCUUGCAUAGUAGAGAGCAACACUCUCCGAAGAGGUGAGGCAGGAACAGAAGUACCCAUCCCAUCACCCGCCGACGAAGAAGAAGCCGCGGAGUGCUUUGGACCCUUUCCCACC